GAUGAACGCUAGCUACAGGCUUAACACAUGCAAGUCGAGGGGAAACGACAUCGAAAGCUUGCUUUUGAUGGGCGUCGACCGGCGCACGGGUGAGUAACGCGUAUCCAACCUGCCCAUCACUUGGGAAUAACCUUGCGAAAGUAAGACUAAUACCCAAUGACAUCCCACGAAGACAUCUGAAUGGGAUUAAAGAUUUAUCGGUGAUGGAUGGGGAUGCGUCUGAUUAGCUUGUUGGCGGGGUAACGGCCCACCAAGGCAACGAUCAGUAGGGGUUCUGAGAGGAAGGUCCCCCACAUUGGAACUGAGACACGGUCCAAACUCCUACGGGAGGCAGCAGUGAGGAAUAUUGAUCAAUGGGCGAGAGCCUGAACCAGCCAAGUAGCGUGCAGGAUGACGGCCCUAUGGGUUGUAAACUGCUUUUAUAAGGGAAUAAAGUGGGUCUCGUGAGACUUUUUGCAUGUACCUUAUGAAUAAGGACCGGCUAACUCCGUG
Molecule: ribosomal RNA, 492 nt
Filed under: uncultured bacterium
Lineage: Bacteria
Description: partial 16S ribosomal RNA
Rfam family: Bacterial small subunit ribosomal RNA
Source: RNAcentral